CUCAUACUUACUCCGUUCGGAAUUACUUAUCGCGAAAAUGGAUGUAUCUAGACAUAUUUUAGUUCUAGAUACAUCCAUUUCUGAGACAAGUAAUUCCGAACGGAGAAAGUAGAAU
Molecule: non-coding RNA, 115 nt
Organism: Triticum aestivum (bread wheat)
Lineage: Eukaryota; Viridiplantae; Streptophyta; Magnoliopsida; Poales; Poaceae
Source: Rfam